Molecule: ribosomal RNA, 156 nt
Filed under: Solanum tuberosum (potato)
Lineage: Eukaryota; Viridiplantae; Streptophyta; Magnoliopsida; Solanales; Solanaceae
Description: rRNA 5_8S_rRNA
Rfam family: 5.8S ribosomal RNA
About the family: 5.8S ribosomal RNA (5.8S rRNA) is a component of the large subunit of the eukaryotic ribosome. It is transcribed by RNA polymerase I as part of the 45S precursor that also contains 18S and 28S rRNA.
Source: RNAcentral
GACUCUCGACAAUGGAUAUCUCGGCUUUCGCAUAGAUGAAAAACGUAGCGAAAUGUGAGACUUGGUGUGAAUUGCAGAAUCCCGUGAACCGUCGAGUCUUUUACCGCAAGUUGCACCUGAAGCCAUUAGGUCGAGGGCACGUCUGCCUGAGUGUCA